CCAACAUGGUUUCCAGUGAGAGUUUCAACAUGACCAUCUUCUGCUGGCUGAACAUCAUCCAACUGAGAAUUCAUAUGUUGAUUAACUCUAUCCAAGGGCAAGUUAGAUGGAUCAGUAUACAGUUCAAAAUCUGCAGGUGCCUCUAAAACAGAGGGUAUACUAGAAGCUGUUGGCUGCUCAAUAGAUGGCCAUUCAUCAUUGGAAUGAACAUGUUCGCUUGCACUAACUUCAGGCUCUGCAUCUAUUUCUGACAUCUUGGCAACAUGAUUUUCUGACAAAUGCAAAUCAUGAUUUGAUGCAGCUAAAGAAGGUGCUGCAGGAUGGUGAUGAUUAACACCGUGGUGAAGUGGCAUAGCAGAUGCCUUGUUAUGCGGCCGCCCCAUCUUCACAAUGUCAGCCAUUGAUACUUGACCUGGAACCCCCAACCAGGGAGAUUGAAAUCCAGAAGGAGGUUGUAACGAUGAAGAAACUCCAUCACCCAAACCUAGAGUUGACAUUUUAUUUUCUGAGGCCAAAGAAUCACUGUGCAAUGCUUGUGGUCUCCGAUUAAUGUUAUUUCCUGCCAUACCAGAUGCAGAAAACGAAGAACCAACAUAAGCAUGUGUUCCAUUUUCCUUCUUGUAUGCAGGUUUAGCAUGUGAAACACCAGUCUCAUUAGAGCUGAACUGGGUUGAACCACCACGUCCAUAACGGUCUGCACCAGCUCUGCCACCACGAUGUGUUGUGUUAUUAGCACCACGGUACCUGGGAUCAGUUGUCUCCUUAUUCUCUUUUUUCUUUUCUCGU
This 786-nucleotide unclassified non-coding RNA is filed under the name Hevea brasiliensis (rubber tree). Lineage: Eukaryota; Viridiplantae; Streptophyta; Magnoliopsida; Malpighiales; Euphorbiaceae. The record is from RNAcentral.